UACGUAGGGGGCAAGCGUUGUCCGGAUUUAUUGGGCGUAAAGAGCGUGUAGGCGGUUUGGUAGGUCCGCUGUGAAAACUCGAGGCUCAACCUCGAGACGCCGGUGGAAACCAUCAGGCUAGAGUCCGGAAGAGGAGAGUGGAAUUCCUGGUGUAGCGGUGAAAUGCGCAGAUAUCAGGAAGAACACCCGUGGCUAAGGCGGCUCUCUAGUACGGUACUGACGCUGAGGCGCGAAAGCGUGGGGAGCGAACAGG
RNAcentral lists this ribosomal RNA (253 nucleotides) under uncultured bacterium. RNAcentral's name for it is "partial 16S ribosomal RNA". It matches the Rfam family "Bacterial small subunit ribosomal RNA", at positions 524 to 776 of the family's 1533-position model. The record is from RNAcentral.